GCACGGGUAGCCGAGACGGUCAGGUGCUAGCUCGCAAAGCUAGAAACGGUGGUUCGAUUCCACCCCCGUGCUCCA
This 75-nucleotide transfer RNA is filed under the name candidate division WWE3 bacterium RIFCSPHIGHO2_01_FULL_43_9. Its description in RNAcentral is "tRNA-Cys". It matches the Rfam family "tRNA". Rfam says of the family: Transfer RNA (tRNA) molecules are approximately 80 nucleotides in length. Lineage: Bacteria; candidate division WWE3. RNAcentral also lists the same sequence under 2 other names. The record is from RNAcentral.